RNAcentral lists this ribosomal RNA (491 nucleotides) under uncultured bacterium. RNAcentral describes it as "partial 16S ribosomal RNA". It matches the Rfam family "Bacterial small subunit ribosomal RNA", at positions 28 to 507 of the family's 1533-position model. The record is from RNAcentral.
GAUGAACGCUGGCCACAGGCUUAACACAUGCAAGUCGAGGGGAAACGACGGGGAAGCUUGCUUCCCCGGGCGUCGACCGGCGCACGGGUGAGUAACGCGUAUCCAACCUGCCUCUGACUGAGGGAUAACCCGUCGAAAGUCGGCCUAAUACCUCAUGGUAUCGUCUGCGGGCAUCCAACGACGAUUAAAGAUUUCAUCGGUCAGGGAUGGGGAUGCGUCUGAUUAGCUUGUUGGCGGGGUAACGGCCCACCAAGGCUACGAUCAGUAGGGGUUCUGAGAGGAAGGUCCCCCACAUUGGAACUGAGACACGGUCCAAACUCCUACGGGAGGCAGCAGUGAGGAAUAGUGGUCAAUGGGCGAGAGCCUGAACCAGCCAAGUAGCGUGCAGGAAGACGGCCCUAUGGGUUGUAAACUGCUUUUAUGCGGGGAUAAAGUGAGGGACGGGUCCCUCAUUGCAGGUACCGCAUGAAUAAGGACCGGCUAAUUCCGUG